AUUGAACGCUGGCGGCAUGCUUUACACAUGCAAGUCGAACGGUAACAGGCCGCAAGGUGCUGACGAGUGGCGAACGGGUGAGUAAUGCAUCGGAACGUGCCCAGUCGUGGGGGAUAACUACUCGAAAGAGUAGCUAAUUCCGCAUACGAUCUAUGGAUGAAAGCGGGGGACCGUAAGGCCUCGCGCGAUUGGAGCGGCCGAUGUCAGAUUAGGUAGUUGGUGGGGUAAAGGCUCACCAAGCCAACGAUCUGUAGCUGGUCUGAGAGGACGACCAGCCACACUGGGACUGAGACACGGCCCAGACUCCUACGGGAGGCAGCAGUGGGGAAUUUUGGACAAUGGGCGCAAGCCUGAUCCAGCAAUGCCGCGUGCAGGAAGAAGGCCUUCGGGUUGUAAACUGCUUUUGUACGGAACGAAACGGCUCUGGUUAAUACCCGGGGCUAAUGACGGUACCGUAAGAAUAAGCACCGGCUAACUACGUG
RNAcentral lists this ribosomal RNA (482 nucleotides) under uncultured bacterium. Its description in RNAcentral is "partial 16S ribosomal RNA". It matches the Rfam family "Bacterial small subunit ribosomal RNA", at positions 30 to 507 of the family's 1533-position model. The record is from RNAcentral.